GUGAAUCAUCGAAUCUUUGAACGCACCUUGCGCUCCUUGGUAUUCCGAGGAGCAUGCCUGUUUGAGUGUCUUGAAGUCAUCAACCUCCCCGCGUUUUUCGUCGGGUCCCGGGUUGGACCUGGGGGUCUCUGCGGCCGCUCGGCCGCUCCCCUCAAAUGACUCGGUCGGGCCUGUGGGUCGGACUCGGUUCUGGGCGUUGUACCAUCCUCGCUCGCUUCCGAGAGGUUCCCCGCCUCCCCCUCGAGGGAGGGCCCCUCCAAGACCGUCCGUGGGGCGACGGUCACCUUUUUCGAAAUCUGACCUCAAAUCAGGUAGGACUACCCGCUGAACUUAAGCAUAUCAAUAAGCGGAGGA
Molecule: unclassified non-coding RNA, 354 nt
Filed under: Trechisporales sp.
Lineage: Eukaryota; Fungi; Basidiomycota; Agaricomycetes; Trechisporales
Description: partial contains 5.8S ribosomal RNA, internal transcribed spacer 2, and large subunit ribosomal RNA
Rfam family: 5.8S ribosomal RNA (bases 1-71)
Source: RNAcentral